GAUGAACGCUGGCGGCGUGCCUAAUACAUGCAAGUCGAGCGAACAGACGAGGAGCUUGCUCCUCUGACGUUAGCGGCGGACGGGUGAGUAACACGUGGAUAACCUACCUAUAAGACUGGGAUAACUUCGGGAAACCGGAGCUAAUACCGGAUAAUAUAUUGAACCGCAUGGUUCAAUAGUGAAAGACGGUUUUGCUGUCACUUAUAGACGGAUCCGCGCCGCAUUAGCUAGUUGGUAAGGUAACGGCUUACCAAGGCAACGAUGCGUAGCCGACCUGAGAGGGUGAUCGGCCACACUGGAACUGAGACACGGUCCAGACUCCUACGGGAGGCAGCAGUAGGGAAUCUUCCGCAAUGGGCGAAAGCCUGACGGAGCAACGCCGCGUGAAUGAUGAAGGUCUUCGGAUCGUAAAACUCUGUUAUUAGGGAAGAACAAAUGUGUAAGUAACUAUGCACGUCUUGACGGUACCUAAUCAGAAAGCCACGGCUAACUACGUG
This 497-nucleotide ribosomal RNA is filed under the name uncultured bacterium. Its description in RNAcentral is "partial 16S ribosomal RNA". It matches the Rfam family "Bacterial small subunit ribosomal RNA", at positions 28 to 507 of the family's 1533-position model. The record is from RNAcentral.